GACUCCGGUGGCCUAGUGGUUAGAGCGUCCUCUUCAGAUGUGGGAGGUCGUGGGUUCGAUCCCCAGUCGAGUCA
Potamilus streckersoni is the source of this 74-nucleotide non-coding RNA. The record is from the annotation of a GenBank genome assembly. Lineage: Eukaryota; Metazoa; Mollusca; Bivalvia; Unionida; Unionidae.